ACCGUCCACCACCCAAGGUCUCUAUAUUUCAGAAAAACAAAAAAGAGGCCUUGGGAAUCAUGGUGACUUAUUUUGAUAAGGUCGGGGAGUGGGAAACUAGUUGGUCCACCCAGAAAAUAGCCUGAUGUAAUAUGCCAGGAAGAUCUGGAGCUGGGGUUUCUAGGAGUAAGCUCCUGCCUGGAUCCAUGUCUUUUGCGUACUACUUGUUUCCUCGGCUGGGCUCGCCCGCCGACUGGACAACCUACAACUCUCUUGCAAUUGCAAUCAGCGUCUGAAUAAACUAUAAUAGUUACAACUUUCAACAACGGAUCUCUUGGUUCUGGCAUCGAUGAAGAACGCAGCGAAAUGCGAUAAGUAGUGUGAAUUGCAGAAUUCAGUGAAUCAUCGAAUCUUUGAACGCACAUUGCGCCCCUUGGUAUUCCAUGGGGCAUGCCUGUUCGAGCGUCAUUUGAACCCUCAAGCCUUGCUUGGUGAUGGGCGCUUGUCCUCUUCUUUAGUACUUGGACUCGCCUUAAAAUUAUUGGCAGCCGGCAUAUAGGCCUUUGGAGCGCAGCACAUUUUGCGAUCUAAGCCGUUAUUCUGGUACCCAUUAAGCUUGUUUUACCACGUUUGACCUCGGAUCAGGUAGGGAUACCCGCUGAACUUAAGCAUAUCAAUAAGCGGAGGAAAAGAAACCAACAGGGAUUGCCCUAGUAACGGCGAGUGAAGCGGCAACAGCUCAAAUUUGAAAUCUGGCUCUUUCAGAGUCCGAGUUGUAAUUUGCAGAGGGCGCUUUGGCGUUGGCAGCGGUCUAAGUUCUUUGGAACAGGACGUCACAGAGGGUGAGAAUCCCGUACGUGGUCGCUAGCCCUCGCCGUGUAAAGCCCCUUCGACGAGUCGAGUUGUUUGGGAAUGCAGCUCUAAAUGGGAGGUAAAUUUCUUCUAAAGCUAAAUACUGGCCAGAGACCGAUAGCGCACAAGUAGAGUGAUCGAAAGAUGAAAAGCACUUUGGAAAGAGAGUCAAAUAGCACGUGAAAUUGUUGAAAGGGAAGCGCUUGCAGCCAGACUUGCCUGUAGUUGCUUAUCCAGACUCUUGUCUGGUGCACUCUUCUAUAGGCAGGCCAGCAUCAGUUUGGGCGGUUGGAUAAAGGUCUCUGUCACGUACCUCCUUUCGGGGAGGCCUUAUAGGGGAGACGUAAUGCAACCAGCCUGG
This 1192-nucleotide ribosomal RNA is filed under the name fungal endophyte. Its description in RNAcentral is "eukaryotic LSU rRNA". The stretch from base 611 to 1192 matches the Rfam family "Eukaryotic large subunit ribosomal RNA", at positions 1 to 587 of the family's 3401-position model. Lineage: Eukaryota; Fungi. The record is from RNAcentral.